Molecule: long non-coding RNA, 214 nt
Organism: Sapajus apella (tufted capuchin)
Lineage: Eukaryota; Metazoa; Chordata; Mammalia; Primates; Cebidae
Exons: 3
Source: RefSeq, a predicted model, not a curated record
ACUAAAAUGUUUUAAUUUUUUUCAGAUUUUUGGAAUAUUUGCAUAUAUAUAAUGAGAGAUCUUGGGAUGAGACCCAAGUCUAAAUGUGAAGUUCAUUUAUGUUUCAUGUGUACCUUAUACAGAUAACCUGAGCUAAUUUUAUGUAAUAUUUUAAAUAAUUUUGUGAAUAAAACAAAAUUUUGACUGUGAGCUGUCACAUGAGAUCAGGGUGUGG